UGCAGUCGAGGGGUAUAAGUCUUCGGACUUAGAGACCGGCGCACGGGUGCGUAACGCGUAUGCAAUCUACCUUUCACAGAGGGAUAGCCCAGAGAAAUUUGGAUUAAUACCUCAUAGUAUUAUGGAAUGGCAUCAUUUUAUAAUUAAAGUCACAACGGUGAAAGAUGAGCAUGCGUCCCAUUAGCUAGUUGGUAAGGUAACGGCUUACCAAGGCUACGAUGGGUAGGGGUCCUGAGAGGGAGAUCCCCCACACUGGUACUGAGACACGGACCAGACUCCUACGGGAGGCAGCAGUGAGGAAUAUUGGACAAUGGGCGCAAGCCUGAUCCAGCCAUGCCGCGUGCAGGAUGACGGUCCUAUGGAUUGUAAACUGCUUUUGCACAGGAAGAAACACUGAUUCGUGAAUCAGCUUGACGGUACUGUGAGAAUAAGGAUCGGCUAACUCCGUGCCAGCAGCCGCGGUAAUACGGAGGAUCCAAGCGUUAUCCGGAAUCAUUGGGUUUAAAGGGUCCGUAGGCGGUCUAGUAAGUCAGUGGUGAAAGCCCAUCGCUCAACGGUGGAACGGCCAUUGAUACUGCUGGACUUGAAUUACUGGGAAGUAACUAGAAUAUGUAGUGUAGCGGUGAAAUGCUUACAGAUUACAUGGAAUACCAAUUGCGAAGGCAGGUUACUACCGGUGGAUUGACGCUGAUGGACGAAAGCGUGGGUAGCGAACAGGAUUAGAUACCCUGGUAGUCCACGCCGUAAACGAUGGAUACUAGCUGUUGGAAGCAAUUUCAGUGGCUAAGCGAAAGUGAUAAGUAUCCC
Molecule: ribosomal RNA, 807 nt
Filed under: Flavobacterium sp.
Lineage: Bacteria; Pseudomonadati; Bacteroidota; Flavobacteriia; Flavobacteriales; Flavobacteriaceae
Description: bacterial SSU rRNA
Rfam family: Bacterial small subunit ribosomal RNA
Source: RNAcentral